GAUGAACGCUGGCGGCGUGCCUAAUACAUGCAAGUCGAGCGAACAGACGAGGAGCUUACUCCUCUGACGUUAGCGGCGGACGGGUGAGUAACACGUGGAUAACCUACCUAUAAGACUGGGAUAACUUCGGGAAACCGGAGCUAAUACCGGAUAACAUGUUGAACCGCAUGGUUCAACAGUGAAAGACGGUCUUGCUGUCACUUAUAGGUGGAUCCGCGUCGCAUUAGCUAGUUGGUAAGGUAACGGCUUACCAAGGCAACGAUGCGUAGCCGACCUGUGAGGGUGGUCGGCCACACUGGAGCUGAGACGCGGUCCAGGCUCCUACGGGAGGCAGCAGUAGGGAAUCUUCCGCAGUGGGCGAAAGCCUGGCGGAGCAGCGCCGCGUGAGUGAAGAAGGUCUUCGGAUCGUAAAACUCUGUUAUUAGGGAAGAACAAAUGUGUAAGUAACUAUGCACGUCUUGACGGUACCUAAUCAGAAAGCCACGGCUAACUACGUG
Molecule: ribosomal RNA, 497 nt
Filed under: uncultured bacterium
Lineage: Bacteria
Description: partial 16S ribosomal RNA
Rfam family: Bacterial small subunit ribosomal RNA
Source: RNAcentral